UACAGAGGUGGCAAGCGUUGUUCGGAAUUACUGGGCGUAAAGGGCGCGUAGGCGGCCUUCUAAGUCUUGUGUGAAAUCCCUCGGCUCAACUGAGGAACUGCACGGGAUACUGGAUGGCUUGAGUUCGGGAGAGGGAAGCGGAAUUCCGGGUGUAGCGGUGAAAUGCGUAGAUAUCCGGAGGAACACCGGUGGCGAAGGCGGCUUCCUGGACCGAUUACUGACGCUGAGGCGCGAAAGCUAGGGGAGCAAACGGGAUUAGAAACCCCCGUAGUCC
This 274-nucleotide ribosomal RNA is filed under the name uncultured bacterium. RNAcentral's name for it is "partial 16S ribosomal RNA". It matches the Rfam family "Bacterial small subunit ribosomal RNA", at positions 524 to 796 of the family's 1533-position model. The record is from RNAcentral.